AUGUUUCCCUCAAAGCCUUUGAGGCCAUGGACUUCAUGUUCCUCUUUAACAGAUUUGGUGAGAACCUCACUGGUUAUGAGAGAGUCUUGCAAAGCCUUGGUGAGUGUUCGUUCAUAGUGUUUAAAACUUGCAAGGAAUUUGAAGGACCCUAUUUAGAGUACAUGGAAAGGCAAUUUAGAAAACCAGUUUUGCUAUCUGGCCCACUUGUCCCUGAGCCAUCAAUGGAUGUGCUUGAGGAAAAGUGGUCCAAAUGGUUAGAUACUUUCCCUGCCAAAUCUGUCAUAUUAUGCUCAUUUGGUAGUGAGACUUUUCUGAAUGAUGAUCAGAUCAAAGAACUAGCCAGUGGAUUGGAACUCAGCGGCUUACCUUUCAUUUUGGUUCUAAAUUUCCCAUCUGAUCUUUCAGCUGAAUCUGAGUUGGAGAGAACACUGCCAAAAGGGUUCUUGGAAAGAGUGAAAGAAAGGGGAGUGGUGCACACUGGUUGGUUUCAGCAGCA
This 496-nucleotide long non-coding RNA is filed under the name Vigna radiata. RNAcentral describes it as "long non-coding RNA (VRAD_LNC009192)". Lineage: Eukaryota; Viridiplantae; Streptophyta; Magnoliopsida; Fabales; Fabaceae. The record is from RNAcentral.